Molecule: ribosomal RNA, 319 nt
Filed under: uncultured eukaryote
Lineage: Eukaryota
Description: partial 18S ribosomal RNA
Rfam family: Eukaryotic small subunit ribosomal RNA
Source: RNAcentral
CCCUUAGAUGUUCUGGGCCGCACGCGCGCUACAAUGGUCUUCGCAAAUGGAUGCAUUCUCGAAGGAGAAUGCCAAUCUUGGAAUCUAUGCCUUGGUCGGGACAGUUGCUUGCAAUUUUUCGACUCGAACCAGGAAUUCCUUGUAAUCGUGAUUCAUCACAUCACGAUGAAUACGUCCCUGCCCUUUGUACACACCGCCCGUCGCUCCUACCGAUCGAAGAGUUAGGUGAAUUGUUUUGAUCGAUAAGAUUUGACUAUGGUCAACUCUCGUUGUGAAAUUCUGUGAAUCUGACUGUUUAGAGGAAGGAAAAGUCGUAACA